This is a long non-coding RNA of Halichondria panicea, 1399 nucleotides long. RefSeq lists it as uncharacterized. The record is from RefSeq and is a predicted model, not a curated record. NCBI's taxonomy places the organism in Eukaryota, Metazoa, Porifera, Demospongiae, Suberitida, Halichondriidae. The transcript is spliced from 4 exons.
GUUGUCAGAACCCACUGAGUGCUUCAUAGGUUAGUCCAUAAAGUUACUUUAAACCGCCUCUUGUAGUAGACUCUAUCAUAAAGGAUAUCGUCCUUUAACAUUUCCUUUGGUGAUGUAAUUGAGUACCAUGAGUGCAAAUAAAAUACAGUGUAUGUCAACACUAUAAUUAUGUACACCUUUCUCUCUCCAGCUCUUCCCAGUCCGCCAUCUUUAUUGACAGUAACUCAUUCCAGUGGCUACCACACUCUCAGCUUCUCUAUCAGGAAAGGCUCAAGCCCCAUAACACAUUUCAUUACUAUACUCAAUCUGCUGUCCUCACCUCACCUGGACAACUUGUUAUCGCUAGCUAUGACUCGAACUCUGUUAUCUCUAUGGAGGGGAAUGGUACCAUGGCCAGUGGUGUUGAUACUGAAUACAGUGUUGUGUUGAAGCUAGCUGGACUAGAGAAGAGUGCGGAGGUUAGAGUGGCUGGGAGGAGUGAGCUGGGAGAUGGACCAUUUAGCGAAGUGGGGAUAAUUGAGAACAAAGGUUCUGCGAAAUGGAGACCCCUUCAUCAUCUUGUCAGUGGAAGUGCCAGACGGGGAGCUAACUAUAACAAACCUUAAUCCUGAUACGGAGUACACAGUCAGGCACUGCUCAUCAAUUAUCGGACAACCACCAUACAUGCGACUUUGGCUACUUCUUUAUCAGAGCAUAAUUAUCAUCUCUGUGAUCAUUGCCGCAGUGGUGGGAGGAAUGCUGCUUGUUGGCAGUGAUCAUAGCAGUUUGUAGGAAGAAGGAAGGAAAAUUGCUAUCACUGCUCGUGGAAUACGACCAUCUUCACUUAACUUGGCCAUGGAAAGCAGCAUGGAUUAGUAGACGCAUUGACUCAUUUCUACAGUUCUAACCUGCUUCGUAGAGCCGGCUUGUUCGUACGCUCUCCCCCACUAAUCCCCUUGAUGACGAGAGAAGGCAUCUCUUCUCCCCUCUACUCCAACUCUCUCUCUUCCUCCAUAACAAAACUGAAUUACACUCAAAACAGUGUCAGUGGCUCUAAUCUCGACACAGUCGUGGACAUGCAUAAUGAUAACUUAACUAUCAAGAUUAGUGACUUUCACUCGAGUAGCAAGUCCAUUCCCCACAACUACAGUCCCCCUGGUGGGAACAAUAGACAGCACCUGUGUCUACAGACCAGCUUGAGUGGUGACCGUAACGAUGUCCGGUCUGUCGUGUCUGCAUGAGAAUCAUCUAUUGACCUAACAACUCAAAUGAGAGCACCCUAUCAAAGAGUACGCCAAUGGUGAGUUUCUAAAGUUUCCAUUUUGUGAAAAAGAAUUUAUUUGUGUGGUCUUACUAUAUAACAGAUGAACAGAUUAGUGUGUUGGAUACAACGCCUACAAUUAAGCUACAUGUAUACAUG